CCGUGGGACACGCCUCCCCAACGAGGCGCUUCUAUCUGUGAGGAUAGCUACA
Aureimonas sp. is the source of this 52-nucleotide regulatory RNA element. It matches the Rfam family "serC leader". Rfam says of the family: This family is a putative regulatory RNA structure that is found upstream of the serC-serA operon in some alpha-proteobacteria. The final stem of the structure overlaps the ribosome binding site of the serC reading frame. The record is from Rfam. Lineage: Bacteria; Pseudomonadati; Pseudomonadota; Alphaproteobacteria; Hyphomicrobiales; Aurantimonadaceae.